CUACCAUGGCUAUCACGGUUAACGGGGAAUUAGGGUUCGAUUCCGGAGAGGGAGCCUGAGAAACGGCUACCACAUCUAAGGAAGGCAGCAGGCGCGUAAAUUACCCAAUCCUGAUUCAGGGAGGUAGUGACAAGAAAUAACAACUCGGGGCCUAACGGCUUACGAGAUUGCAAUGAGAACAAUUUAAAUCACUUAUCUAGGAACAAUUGGAGGGCAAGUCUGGUGCCAGCAGCCGCGGUAAUUCCAGCUCCAAUAGCGUAUAUUAAUGUUGUUGCAGUUAAAAAGCUCGUAGUUGAACUUCUGGCGGCUCGUCUAGCUGGCUUCGGUCGUUAGUCGAGUCGUCAUCCGUCUGAGAACCAUGGCUGGCCUUAAUUGGUCACUAUGGAGAUCAGGCAUUUUACUUUGAAAAAAUUAGAGUGUUCAAGGCAGGCGAUCGCCAUGAAUACACAAGCAUGGAAUAAUGGAAUAGGACUUUGGUUCAUUUUGUUGGUUAUUGAACCUAAGUAAUGAUUAAUAGGGACAAUUGGGGGCAUUAGUAUUUAAUUGUCAGAGGUGAAAUUCUUGGAUUUAUUAAAGACUAACUUAUGCGAAAGCAUUUGCCAAGGAUGUUUUCAUUAAUCAA
Molecule: ribosomal RNA, 622 nt
Filed under: Ciliophora sp.
Lineage: Eukaryota; Ciliophora
Description: SSU rRNA
Rfam family: Eukaryotic small subunit ribosomal RNA
Source: RNAcentral